Molecule: transfer RNA, 82 nt
Filed under: Devosia geojensis
Lineage: Bacteria; Pseudomonadati; Pseudomonadota; Alphaproteobacteria; Hyphomicrobiales; Devosiaceae
Rfam family: tRNA
About the family: Transfer RNA (tRNA) molecules are approximately 80 nucleotides in length. Their secondary structure includes four short double-helical elements and three loops (D, anti-codon, and T loops).
Source: Rfam by way of RNAcentral
GCGGGUGUGGCGGAACUGGCAGACGCACUGGAUUUAGGUUCCAGCGCCGCAAGGCGUGGAGGUUCGACCCCUCUCACCCGCA